AUUGAACGCUGGCGGCAUGCCUUACACAUGCAAGUCGAACGGCAGCACGGGAGCUUGCUCCUGGUGGCGAGUGGCGAACGGGUGAGUAAUACAUCGGAACGUACCCUGAAGUGGGGGAUAACGUAGCGAAAGUUACGCUAAUACCGCAUAUUCUGUGAGCAGGAAAGAGGGGGAUCGCAAGACCUCUUGCUUUAGGAGCGGCCGAUGUCGGAUUAGCUAGUUGGUGAGGUAAAGGCUCACCAGGGCGACGAUCCGUAGCGGGUCUGAGAGGAUGAUCCGCACACUGGGACUGAGACACGGCCCAGACUCCUACGGGAGGCAGCAGUGGGGAAUUUUGGACAAUGGGCGCAAGCCUGAUCCAGCCAUGCCGCGUGAGUG
This 378-nucleotide ribosomal RNA is filed under the name uncultured bacterium. Its description in RNAcentral is "bacterial SSU rRNA". It matches the Rfam family "Bacterial small subunit ribosomal RNA", at positions 30 to 407 of the family's 1533-position model. The record is from RNAcentral.